This 90-nucleotide transfer RNA is filed under the name Elsinoe ampelina. RNAcentral describes it as "tRNA-Glu". It matches the Rfam family "tRNA". Rfam says of the family: Transfer RNA (tRNA) molecules are approximately 80 nucleotides in length. The record is from RNAcentral. Lineage: Eukaryota; Fungi; Ascomycota; Dothideomycetes; Myriangiales; Elsinoaceae.
UCCGAUAUAGUAUAAAGGCUAGUAUACCCCGCUCUCAAACGCAUCGUUGACAGUGCCGGGGAGAUCGGGGUUCAAUUCCCCGUGUCGGAA